UGGGGAAUAUUGCGCAAUGGGGGGAACCCUGACGCAGCCAUGCCGCGUGAAUGAAGAAGGCCUUCGGGUUGUAAAGUUCUUUCGGUAUUGAGGAAGGUUGGUGUGUUAAUAGUACAUCAAAUUGACGUUAAAUACAGAAGAAGCACCGGCUAACUCCGUGCCAGCAGCCGCGGUAAUACGGAGGGUGCGAGCGUUAAUCGGAAUAACUGGGCGUAAAGGGCACGCAGGCGGUUAUUUAAGUGAGGUGUGAAAGCCCCGGGCUUAACCUGGGAAUUGCAUUUCAGACUGGGUAACUAGAGUACUUUAGGGAGGGGUAGAAUUCCACGUGUAGCGGUGAAAUGCGUAGAGAUGUGGAGGAAUACCGAAGGCGAAGGCAGCCCCUUGGGAAUGUACUGACGCUCAUGUGCGAAAGCGUGGGGAGCAAACAGGAUUAGAUACCCUGGUAGUCCACGCUGUAAACGCUGUCGAUUUGGGGGUUGGGGUUUAACUCUGGCGCCCGUAGCUAACGUGAUAAAUCGACCGCCUGGGGAGUACGGCCGCAAGGUUA
Molecule: ribosomal RNA, 547 nt
Filed under: uncultured bacterium
Lineage: Bacteria
Description: bacterial SSU rRNA
Rfam family: Bacterial small subunit ribosomal RNA
Source: RNAcentral